GUCUGUAUUUCCGCCGGCGCGAAACGAGCGUAGCUUCCUUGUCGUGUGGCCUCAGUCCUUCGCCGUCCCUCGCCGUCCUUCGCCAUCGCACGCCACCGCACCCCAUCUCUCGAAAUCUGCAGACAUCUUGAUUUUUCCCACGCUGUCUGUCAGGUCUCCGCCGCCACUCGACGCCAGGGCGCCGGGCCUUGUGGGCUGUGCUGCACCUCGGACGGCUUCGCACCAGCCAGCGCCCUCUCUCUCCUGCAGCACUCUGAUCUGCACCCCCUGAGGGGCUUCCACUGUCCGCGGGGUGAGAAUGCCCCUGGGAGUGUCACAUGACUGCCGCCCCAUGUGUGUGAGAGGCGUCCUCUGGGAGAGCAUGGAUCCUGAGGUCCCAGGAUUGUCAGCUGACCUCUGUCCUGUGUGCCCAGUGGCCCCAGGUGACGUGUCUUCAAGAAGAGGCUGAGCUGCGGUGCUUGUAAGGGUCUCAUUCUGUCACCCAGGCUGGAGUGCAGUGGUGCAAUGAUGGCUCACUGCAGCCUCGACCUGGGCUCAAGUGAUCCUCCACCUCAGCUUCCUGAGUAGCUGGGACCACAGAGUCAUGUGCUGUUCCUGGGGCUUGGAUGAUGUAGGGGAAGCAAGGUGAAAGUGGUAUCCCGUGGUUCCACGUUCUGUCCUGCUGUGGGGCUGUCCCUCACAUGCUUUCAGUGGCUGUUGCAGAGGAAGAGCCUCCGGAAAUCUGCGUGGGUCUCAGCCUUAGAUCCAAGGACAGUCCAAGGAAGUCCUAAGACCAUGGAGUUGGUGAUCUGGGAUCUGGGUUUGCUGAUAUUUCUCACCGUGAAUCUCUUGGUGGUGUUUGUGGGCACGAGAGGGGCAGAGAAUGGAGAGUGAGGCUACCACAUGAAGCGUCACCAGAGCUGCUCCCUGCUGCCUGCUCAGAGCACCCCGGAUCCACUGUUCAAUCUGCACAAGAUUCGGGGUCCAGACAUGGGAGACUUCAGCUGCCUCAGAGGACCGUGGACAGGGAAGGCCAGCCUCGCAUCCCUCUGUCCAUGCCUGGAAUGACUUUAAUAACCAAGAGUUUUAUUUUUGAAUUUGUAGCUGUCGUUCACUUUUUACCCACCCAUUCAAUAAACCUUACAGAAUUGCUCCA
This 1135-nucleotide long non-coding RNA is filed under the name Homo sapiens (human). Its description in RNAcentral is "small nucleolar RNA host gene 17". The record is from RNAcentral. Lineage: Eukaryota; Metazoa; Chordata; Mammalia; Primates; Hominidae.